This 253-nucleotide ribosomal RNA is filed under the name uncultured bacterium. RNAcentral describes it as "partial 16S ribosomal RNA". It matches the Rfam family "Bacterial small subunit ribosomal RNA", at positions 524 to 776 of the family's 1533-position model. The record is from RNAcentral.
UACAGAGACUGCAAGCGUUAUUCGGAUUCACUGGGCGUAAAGGGUGCGCAGGCGGCCAAGUGUGUGAGGCGUGAAAGCCCGGGGCUUAACCCCGGAAUUGCACCUCAAACUACAUGGCUAGAGCAUUGGAGAGGGUAGCAGAAUUCAUGGUGUAGCAGUGAAAUGCGUAGAUAUCCGGAGGAACACCAGUGGCGAAAGCGGCCACCUGGACUGCACCUGACGCUGACACGCGAAAGCUAGGGGAGCGAACGGG